Long non-coding RNA from Cygnus olor (mute swan), 5265 nucleotides. RefSeq lists it as uncharacterized. NCBI's taxonomy places the organism in Eukaryota, Metazoa, Chordata, Aves, Anseriformes, Anatidae. The record is from RefSeq and is a predicted model, not a curated record. The transcript has 2 exons.
GGUCAAGGGAAGGAAUUUUUCCUCCCUAUUUUGCAUUUGCAAGGCCACAUCUGGCCACUCUGCUCCGUUUUGGGCUUCCCAGUACAAACUGGAAUAAAGAGAAGGGAGAGGCACUGUAUGCCUAGGGCGAGAGAGCAUUUAAGGAGGAGAGGCCUGGAGAUGAGAAGGUUAAGUCUGCACCUGACUGAACAGGAUAGAAGAGAAUGUAGAACCGAAAUUUCCAUUGAGGUGUGCAGAAAAAGGGCAAUAAGCAGGAAUCACAAGUUGUAGCAAAGGAAAUUUUGUCUGUCUGCAAUAAAAAAAUCACAAGAAUAUGUAGGAAUUUCAACAAGAUUUGUGAUUAUACAAUGCCCAUCCUUUGAUUUUGUCAAUAUAAUUUUAGAUAUAAGGAAGAAAGACAUCCACUUUAAGGAAGAGAAAGGGACAAUGUCUUAAAAUCUCUGGAUCAGACCCCAGGCCCUUUCAUCACAGCACCAAUACUUUCCCAAGUGACUGCAAACCACAGUUCAAAGAAGUCAUAAGAGUAUGUUUAAACAUCUUAUUUUACUCUGAUACACAACUCUGGACUCAGGUUAUUAUACAGUUCUACAUGAAACGGUGCCCUGUGAUGUAUUUGUGAAAUAGCAGGUAUGUGCUCAGACAUGACAAGAAGUAAAUUUAUUGCCUUUUGUUUGCAGGCUUUAGCUCCUUAGAAGAUAUCAUGUUAACUCUCUAAAGUGGCAUAUCAAAAUACAUGUGGUUUGUUUUUUUUUUUUGUUGUUGUUUUUUUUUUUUUUAGCUAUAGCUAGGUAAUCUUUGCUGAUGAUUAAGCAUCAUUGUUAAGCAUCACUUUUGUAGGUUUGGAAACUUAUGAGUAGAGAGAUCAAUCACAGAAUCACAGAAUUGUUUUUGGAAGGGAUCAUCUAACUCCAAGCCCUCCUGCCAUGGGCAGGGACACCUCCCACCAGUCCAGGUUGCUUAAAGCCCCAUCCAGCCUGGCCUUGAACACUUCCAGGGAUGGGGCAUCCACAGCUUCUCUGGGCAGCCUGUACCACUGCCUACCACCCUCUGAGUGAAAAAUUUCUUAUAACUGAUCUGAAUCUACCCUCUUUCAUUUUAAAAGAAUUACUCAUUGUCCUGUCACUACAUUCCUCACCUUCCAUUUAGGCCUCUUUUAAGUACUAAAAGGCCACUAUAAGGUCUCCCUGGAGCCUUCUCUUCUCCAGGCUGAACAAUCCCAACUCCCUCAGCCUGUCUCCAUAGCAGAGGUGCUCCAAUCCCUCGAUCAUCUUUGUGACCCUCCUCCAGAUUUGUUCUAAUAUUUCUGUCCUUCUUGUGCUGGUGGCCCCAGAGCUGAAUGCAGGACUCCAGGCAGGGCCUCACAAGAGCAGAGUAGAGGGGGAGAAUCACCUCCCUCUCCCUGCUGGCCGCACUACUUUUGAUGCAGCCCAGAAUAUGGUUACUGCCAUCUAAUGUUGAGCUUCUCAUCAACCAGCACCACCAGGCCCUUCUCCUCAAGGCUUGUCUCUAUCCACUCAUCAGCCUGUAUUCAUGUUUGGCAUUGGCCCAGCCCAGACGCAGAACCUUGCACUUGGCCUUGUUGAACCUCAUGAGGUUCGCACAGGCCCAGCUCUCAGGCCUGUCCAGGUCCCUCUGGUUGGCAUCCCUUCCCUCCAGCGUGUCAACCGCACCACAGAGCUUGGUGUCAUCGGCAAACUUGUUGAGGGUGCACUUGAUCCCACUGUCCAUAUUACCAACAAAGAUCUUAGAUAAUACCAAUUCCAAUAUUGGUAUAUUCAGUAUUUUAUCAUGUCAUACUGAGGUGUUUUUGCUGUGAAUUAUUUUCUAAACCCACGUUAUUGAGAUGGUAGCAACCAGCUAUGCUUUUAAAGAACUAAAAGUCAAAAAGCAUUUCAACAUCUGGACAGUAUUUGUUCUUAUCAAUUAGCUAUCAUUUAAAUGAGUCUGAUAGCAAACAGGGGUAAUUGCUCAAUGUUUUUUGAAACUAGAGUUUACAAAAAACAGCGGAGCAGUUUGUGAAGGAGUGUAUGCUGUAGGAGGGGAAGGAGCAUGAUGAUGAAGGAACAGCAAAAAGCAUUACAGACUGGCUGCAGUGCCAAUUGCCCACCCCCUGCACUGGGAGGUGUAGGUGGAAAAAUCAGGAGCAGAUUUGGGCCUGGGAAGAAGGUGGGGUUGGGGGAAAGGUGGUUUUAGUUUUGUAUUUAUUUCUCACUAUUCUACUUGGUUACUAAUUGGAACUAAGUUAUUUAUGCUCCGCAAGUCAAGUCUAUUUUGGCUGUGACGGUAACUGGUAAAUCAUCAGCCUGUCCUUAUGUUGAUCCAUGAUGUUUUCUUCUUAUUUUCUCCUCCUGUCCUGUUGAGAAUGGGGAGUGAGAGAGCAGCUGGGUGGGCACCUGCUGGUCAGCAAAGGUUAACCUAGCACAGAUACAUAUCAUGCUUCAAAUGUGCUGACUAGGUGGAAAACCACUGCGCUUUUUCUACUCACUCCAUAUCACAGAACCGUCAAGAAGCAAAAUGUUUGAAGGUGUGGUGUUGUGAAGAGUGAUGCAGCUUGCAUUGCUAUAGCCUGCAAUAACACUUCACCUUCCCAAAGUACUUUAUAAAGUCAAAAUUCUGUAAAAUAUUUACAUGCGGUAAAGGUGAAUGCAACUUUGCAUAAGUUUUGAGCAGAGAAAUUUAGACAGAGCAAGGAUUAGCCAAAACCAAGCAAUAGCAAAUGGCAAAGCCAGAACUCUAAACCAUGGUUCCCAGCCCUACACACAACCCUCCAGUGUUGUGGUAAUGGCAGCUUUGUGGUAUGUCUGACAUCCAUAUACACAUUCUCAUCUCUAAAAAAUAUAAGAAUAAAGUAAGACACCAACAUAUUUUCCAUGCCUACCAGAGUAUGAACACUUCAGAUAUGAACUGCAAAACAAAGCUAAGUGCCUUGCAAAUGUAUUGAUCAGGAUCGAGUUUGACCUUUUAGUAUUUACUUAUUUUUUCAAAACUGAAAUGAAUUAGUUUUUUUGUUGUUUUUCCCUAAAUGAAAUGUAACAACUUGUGGGUAGGAAGCUUGAAAUGACUCUAACCUGAGUGUUUUUUGUAACUGAUUUUUAAUGGAUGAGAUGAUAUAGAGUUCUUAUGUGUAUGUGCACUACAGAAAUCUCAAUAAAGAUUUUAUUAAUUUAAUUAACUUAUUAAACUUUAGUAACUUUUAACUGUGGACAUGGACUUGCCAACAUUGUACUACAAGGUUUCACACAUUAUAGUUGUCAGAAACAGCUUAAAGCCAGUAAAAGUCUACCUUUACUGUAAUGCAGAAAUUAAGAUAUAAAAAAUUCAGACACCAGAGAACUGGAUAGUUUAACACAAGAUUCACAAAUGUUUUUCAGAAGGCAACCAAUCAAAUUAGUGUUUGUUAGUGUUCUAAUUAUAAUCUAUUCAGCCAAACACUAUUGAAGUAAACCUGAUCUCUCUUUUCAAAUGUAGCUUUCAGUUUCAGAGAGACUAAGAACUUAUUGCAAGACUUUAUCACAAGUCCUUUACUCAGAAAGAUUUUGAUCGAUUCAUUUAGGUUGACUUGAUUGUGAGACCUACAAAAGAACUUGCUGGAAUAUAAAUUUACUUGUAAUUAAAAAGCUAAGAUACAAUUUUGAGGCACUAAUAAUAUAGAUAUUUGGACGAAGAACUGGCUGAUAACCCACCAAUGAGCAGCAAGAGUUGUCUGCUCUGCUUGGGAAAAUGAGCUGACCUUAAAUGAAAGCAGUCAAGCACUCAGUGAGAGAAAGAGAUUGCAGAGGGGAGCUACAGAGAGAGAUGGUUACAGGAUUCUCAUGGGAAUUAGAGCCUGCUGGUACGUUCAAGGCCCUGCCACAAUCUUCCUUACUGAGACAUAACAAAGAAAAGGUUUAUUAUAAAAGAGCUAGUUGAUUAUGUGCAAGCAUAUUUAAUGUAUUUUGUAUUAUUAGACAUAUUUCUGUUUCCUUAAUCUUAUUUUGCUUUAAUUUUAGCCAUAGGAUUUAACCAUCAUAUAUUUAAGUCUGUUACAGUAGAUUUUUUAAUAGGUGAGAGGGAAAAAUGAGCUCACUUUAUGCAGCUUUCCUCUUGACUACUCAAAAGACAUUUAAGGCUUUAAUAGCUUAGAAUUGACAAUUUAGAAAAAAAGACACAUCAUGUCUUCAUUAUAAACCAUCUGGAAAUCUAAGUGUCAGUAUACUAGCUUCACAAUGAAGUGUGUAUAUCUUAUGCUUCAGUCCUGUUGUCUUAAUGGCAGGACAGGUUCUAGUGUUUUUACGGGCAAAUAGACAAUACGACAAUGUCUUAUUUCAGCCAUCUGUUCAGUUUCUGAAAGCACUGCUUUAAUUCAUAAUGAUGAAUUAAUCUUUUUAUUAUAAUCUAAGAUUAAUCUCAAUGUAUGUCAUCAUUUUUCAGCUUCUGUCUGGUUAUACCAUAAACCUAGUAGCAUGACUUUAAGUUGACUUUGAAAUUGAAUUUCAGUGGGGUAGGAAUUUAUCACGGAUUGCUGAAAGUUACUCACUAGCUGUAUGGAAAUAGGACAUCUAUGGAAAUGGAAGCGAUCAGCUGAGUUUUAAAGUCUGGUUGUGCUCAACAGACAUUUAGUUUCUAGAUGUUUAGCCUAGAAGGAUUUUUCUCCCUAUGCUUUCUCUUAAAUCACAAAAUGCAUCAAAACCUGCAGAAAGUAUCAGGCUCUACAGAAAAGAUCAGGUCAGACAGAAAUACACUAUAACUCUUAUCCUGUAUUGCCCAUAAUCUCUUUAUCAUUUGUUGUAUUCUCUUGCCAUUUUGUUGAAUGUAGCCUUACAUAGAAAUCCAAACAAAAUGUGCUUGAAUAACAUCUCAGUGAGGUUCCAGUUCUGACUACAGACCCUUAACUACUAAAUAAAUAUAAAGAACAAAUUUAAUUACUUAGUGUUUUUGGAACUCUAAUAAUGUUUUCUAACAACGAGGUUGAAGCAGGCUGUUGACAAGCAAUUCUCCCACUCCCAGCAUGUAGUUAGUGCAGGAAUAUUUCUAUGGCAAUCCUGUAGUAUUAGCGGUAAUGAGCAGAACAGCUACUGUUUGUCUAAAAAGUUGCCAAUAUCAGAAACCAUGGAAAUACUAGUGUAAUUCCAUUGUUAAACCCAGUAAUACCAUACUGGGAUAUGCACUCGGCAAAGAAAAUAAAUUAUUGGCUGUACAAUGAGAUGCUAAUUUAUAAAUGGUUAUUAAAAUAAUCUUAUUGCAAAAAUUUAUCAUGCAAGUUACUUAUCUGUAGAUGAAAGUUGA